GGCCUCCCUCUGUGGGGUGAUUGAUCACAGGGCUCCGUAAUCAAUGGCUCCGCAGAGGGAGGCC
Molecule: microRNA precursor, 64 nt
Filed under: Myotis davidii
Lineage: Eukaryota; Metazoa; Chordata; Mammalia; Chiroptera; Vespertilionidae
Description: mir-9242 microRNA precursor family
Rfam family: mir-9242 microRNA precursor family
Source: Rfam by way of RNAcentral